GACGAACGCUGGCGGCGUGCCUAACACAUGCAAGUCGAACGAGGUCCAUCCUUCGGGAGAAGACCUAGUGGCGAACGGGUGAGUAACACGUGAAGAACCUGCCCCGAAGACCGGGAUAACCCUCCGAAAGGAGAGCUAAUACCGGAUACCCCCACCGAACCGCAUGGUUUGGUGAGGAAAUGGAUUCCGCUUCGGGAGGGCUUCGCGGCCUAUCAGCUAGUUGGUGGGGUAACGGCCCACCAAGGCAUCGACGGGUAGCUGGUCUGAGAGGACGAUCAGCCACACUGGGACUGAGACACGGCCCAGACUCCUACGGGAGGCAGCAGUGGGGAAUCUUGCGCAAUGGGCGAAAGCCUGACGCAGCAACGCCGCGUGGGGGAUGAAGGGCUCUCGGGUUGUAAACCCCUUUCAGCAGGGACGAAUCAAGACGGUACCUGCAGAAGAAGCCCCGGCUAACUACGUGCCAGCAG
This 470-nucleotide ribosomal RNA is filed under the name uncultured bacterium. Its description in RNAcentral is "bacterial SSU rRNA". It matches the Rfam family "Bacterial small subunit ribosomal RNA", at positions 28 to 514 of the family's 1533-position model. The record is from RNAcentral.